This 253-nucleotide ribosomal RNA is filed under the name uncultured bacterium. RNAcentral's name for it is "partial 16S ribosomal RNA". It matches the Rfam family "Bacterial small subunit ribosomal RNA", at positions 793 to 1055 of the family's 1533-position model. The record is from RNAcentral.
GUCCACGCCGUAACGAUGGAUACUAGCUGUUCGGAGCAAUCUGAGUGGCUAAGCGAAAGUGAUAAGUAUCCCACCUGGGGAGUACGUUCGCAAGAAUGAAACUCAAAGGAAUUGACGGCGGCCCGCACAAGCGGUGGAGCAUGUGGUUAAUUCGAUGAUACGCGAGGAACCUUACCAAGGCUUAAAUGGGAAACGACAGGUUUGGAAACAGACUUUUCUUCGGACGUUUUUCAAGGUGCUGCAUGGUUGUCGU